Molecule: microRNA precursor, 61 nt
Filed under: Pristionchus pacificus
Lineage: Eukaryota; Metazoa; Nematoda; Chromadorea; Rhabditida; Neodiplogasteridae
Description: mir-8364 microRNA precursor family
Rfam family: mir-8364 microRNA precursor family
Source: Rfam by way of RNAcentral
UCUUCAUUCCGCGUGCUCUCUCACCGGUCAGAGAUGCGAGAGAGUAAGCAGAAUGAAGAAA